GUUAAUGGCGCAAGCCUGAUCCAGCCAUGCCGCGUGAGUGAAGAAGGCCUUCGGGUUGUAAAGCUCUUUUGUCAGGGAGCAAAUCCUGCCUGCUAAUACUAGGCGGGGAUGAGAGUACCUGAAGAAUAAGGACCGGCUAACUACGUGCCAUCAGCCGCGGUAAUACUUAUGGUCCAAGCGUUAAUCGGAAUUACUGGGCGUAAAGCGUGCGCAGGUGGUUACGCUAAGUCUGAUGUGAAAUCCCCGGGCUCAACCUGUGAACUGCAUUGGAGACUGCGUGGCUAGAGUGUGGCAGAGGGGGGUGGAAUUCCGCGUGUAGCAAUGAAAUGCGUAAAGAUGCGGAGGAACACCAAUGGCGAAGGCAGCCCCCUGGGUCAACACUGACACUCAUGCACGAAAGCGUGGGGAGCAAACAGGAUUAGAUACCCUGGUAGUCCACGCCCUAAACGAUGUCUACUAGUUGUUGGGGUAGCAAUACCUUAGUAACGCAGCUAACGCGUGAAGUAGACCGCCUGGGGAU
Molecule: ribosomal RNA, 520 nt
Filed under: uncultured beta proteobacterium
Lineage: Bacteria; Pseudomonadati; Pseudomonadota; Betaproteobacteria
Description: bacterial SSU rRNA
Rfam family: Bacterial small subunit ribosomal RNA
Source: RNAcentral